AUCUAGAGGCGGUGGACGAGGCUACAGAGGAAGACCAUGGAAGAGGCUGGGAGCCCCUCUCCCAGUCGUGGCCACUGUGGAAGUUGGUGGUACGCCGUGUUGAUCCUGAAACCCUGGGUCAGAGGUGAGAAGAUCCCUGUGGGAUGUGAGCAGCCUGACACCCGCAGACACCCAUCCAUCCCUCCUGGGCCAGGAAAACAGCUUCUGCAUAAAGAAUGCUCAAAGGGCCCAGCAGUGGGGAAGGCAGUUAAGAGACUGGGCCCAGGUGGUCAGAGAAGAACUGGAUUUGGAACCUGGUUCUGGGACCUUGGAGCUGUGUGAGCUCGGGAAGAUCACUUCACCUCUUGAAGCCUCAGUUUCCCCACCUAGUAAAUGAAAUAAUAAUACCUAAUUUGCAAAGUUGUUAUCACCAUGAAUGAGUACCUGUGACACCUGCAAUGCAGAGUCUGUAAGGGAGUGUGUCCUUUCGCUAAGAAGUGUCUAGUUUCCCGUUCAUAGAUGUUGGGUUGAGCAUGUUGGUAACAUUGUCAAGAACCAUCUGCAGUUGGGACACACAAAAGCCCUCUCCCCAACUGCACUUCCAAGGUUGAAUCACAGCCUAUUUUGUUUCUGUAUGUCCUCAGGUGGUUUAUUAGCAGCUCACAUGGCCUUCCAGAAA
Lontra canadensis (Northern American river otter) is the source of this 658-nucleotide long non-coding RNA. RefSeq lists it as uncharacterized. The record is from RefSeq and is a predicted model, not a curated record. The transcript has 3 exons. Lineage: Eukaryota; Metazoa; Chordata; Mammalia; Carnivora; Mustelidae.